GCCGGGGUGGCGGAAUUGGUAGACGCGCAGCCUUGAGGAGGCUGUCUCCGUUAUUGGAGGUGGAGGUUCAAGUCCUCUCCCCGGCA
RNAcentral lists this transfer RNA (86 nucleotides) under Pseudomonadota bacterium. RNAcentral's name for it is "tRNA-Leu". It matches the Rfam family "tRNA". Rfam says of the family: Transfer RNA (tRNA) molecules are approximately 80 nucleotides in length. Their secondary structure includes four short double-helical elements and three loops (D, anti-codon, and T loops). The record is from RNAcentral. Lineage: Bacteria; Pseudomonadati; Pseudomonadota. RNAcentral also lists the same sequence under 1 other name.